Molecule: long non-coding RNA, 242 nt
Organism: Gossypium arboreum
Lineage: Eukaryota; Viridiplantae; Streptophyta; Magnoliopsida; Malvales; Malvaceae
Exons: 3
Source: RefSeq, a predicted model, not a curated record
CACAUAUCAAAGGUUAGAUCUCAUCUUUUAUUCUCUCAAAAUUCUCUAGAAAAGAUUUCCAAAGUUGAUAAAUAACUCAUUCGAGUUUUUCAAAUAUCUUGAUCCAAUCUUCUAUAUUGGUGAUCAAGUAAAGAUCCACAUCAAGGAGGGGCCACUGCUAAUCAGAAUUAAGGUCCAAACACCGCUACUUGAUACACUUUGUCUUGAGAAGCAAAAUGUGAAUCUUUAUGCAGAGUUUUUCC